CCUACGGGUGGCAGCAGUCGGGAAUAUUGCGCAAUGGAGGAAACUCUGACGCAGUGACGCCGCGUGCAGGAAGAAGGUUUUCGGAUUGUAAACUGCUUUAGACAGGGGAGUAAAAAGACAGUCCCUGUAGAAUAAGCUCCUGCUAACUACGUGCCAGCAGCCGCGGUAAUACGUAGGGACCGAGCGUUAUCCGGAUUUAUUGGGUGUAAAGGGUGCGUAGACGGAGAAGCAAGUCAGUUGUGAAAUUCCUCGGCUCAACUGAGGAACUGCAGUUAAAACUACUUGUCUUGAGUACUGGAGAGGAAAGUGGAAUUCGUAGUGUAGCGGUGAAAUGCGUAGAUAUCAGGAGGAACACCAGUGGCGAAGGCGACUUUCUGGACAGUAACUGACGUUGAGGCACGAAAGUGUGGGGAGCAAACAGGAUUAGAUACCCGAGUAGUC
Molecule: ribosomal RNA, 441 nt
Filed under: uncultured bacterium
Lineage: Bacteria
Description: partial 16S ribosomal RNA
Rfam family: Bacterial small subunit ribosomal RNA
Source: RNAcentral